CCUACGGGAGGCAGCAGUAGGGAAUAUUGCUCAAUGGGGGAAACCCUGAAGCAGCAACGACGCGUGGAGGAUGAAGGUUUUCGGAUUGUAAACUCCUUUUGUUAGAGAAGAUAAUGACGGUAUCUAACGAAUAAGCCCCGGCUAACCCCGUGCCAGCAGCCGCGGUAAUACGGAGGGUGCAAGCGUUACUCGGAAUCACUGGGCGUAAAGAGCGCGUAGGCGGGAUAGCAAGUCAGAUGUGAAAUCCUAGGGCUUAACCAUAGAACUGCAUUUGAAACUGUUAUUCUAGAGUAUGGGAGAGGUAGGUGGAAUUCUUGGUGUAGGGGUAAAAUCCGUAGAGAUCAAGAGGAAUACUCAUUGCGAAGGCGACCUGCUAGAACAUAACUGACGCUGAUGCGCGAAAGCGUGGGGAGCAAACAGGAUUAGAUACCCCUGUAGUC
RNAcentral lists this ribosomal RNA (440 nucleotides) under uncultured bacterium. Its description in RNAcentral is "partial 16S ribosomal RNA". It matches the Rfam family "Bacterial small subunit ribosomal RNA", at positions 338 to 795 of the family's 1533-position model. The record is from RNAcentral.